GUGGUGGUUUCUUGCUUGGAUCUAGGGGAUAAUUCAAGGUGCUUUUCUGUAGUCGUCUUCUCUUCAGCUGUUAAUGACAGAGUCCCAGAAGUGUCCUGAAGUCCUUUUCCACGCCUAAGCCAUGCUUCAGAGAGGGAGGCACCUGCCCCGGUGUCCUGAGUACUGCUCUUCUGAACAGCAGUGGUCUUUCUCCUGGAAAGGAUUGGCAUUCUAUAUCCCAACUCCUUUUUCUCAGGGCCGCGAGCGCGGCUGCCGCGGGGCAUCUCAGGGAGAGCAGCCUCAGCGCGCCGCCUUAGUGCGCCGCCUCCUCAGAGCACCGCGGUGCCACAUCCUGAUUGCCGACUUCUUAUGUCCUGUCCUCUUGCUCUCCUCCCCGGGCAGCAUGAGCUUCAUCGCUUGUUCCACUUUCUCCACCAACUACCGGUCCGUGGGCUCCGUCCGGGUGCCCAGCUACGGUGCCCAGCUGGUCAGCAGCGCGGCCAGAGUCUAUGCAGGCGCCGGGGGCUCUGGUCCCGCAUCUCUGUGUCCUACUCCGCCAGCUUCCGGAGCGGCAUGGGGGUCGGGGGCCAGGCCGCGGGGAUGGCCGGGGGUCUGGCAGAAAUGGGAGGCAUCAGAACGAGAAGGAGACCACGCAAAGCCUGAACGACCGCCUGGCCUCCUACCUGGACAGAGUGAGGAGCCUGGAGACCGAGAACCAGAAGCUGGAGAGCAAAAUCCAGGAGCACCUGGAGAAGAAGGGACCCUAGGUCAGAGACUGGGGCCAUUACUUCAAGACCAUCAAGGACCUGAGGGCUCAGAUCUUCGCAAAUACUGUUGACAAUGCCCGCAUCGUUCUGCAGAUUGACAAUGCCCGUCUUGCUGCUGAUGACUUUAGAGUCAAGUAGGAGACAGAGCUGGCCAUGUGCCCGUCUGUGGAGAGCGACAUCCAUGGGCUCCACAAGGUCAUCGAUGACACCAAUGUCACUCGGCUGCAGCUGGAGACAGAGAUCGAGGCUCUCAAGGAGGAGCUGCUCUUCAUGAAGAAGAACCAUGAAGAGGAAGUAAACGGCCUACAAGCCCAGAUUGCCAGCUCUGGGUUGACCGUGGAGGUAGAUGCCCCCAAAUCUCAGGGCCUCGCCAAGAUCAUGGCAGAAAUCCGGGCUCAAUAUGACGAGCUGGCUCAGAAGAACCGAGAGGACCUGUACAAUUACUGGACUCAGCUGAUUGAGGAGAGCACCAUAGUGGUUACCACACAGUCCACUGAGGUUGAAGCUGCUGAGAUGACGCUCACAGAGCUAAGAUGUACAGUCCAGUCCUUGGAGAUCGACCUGGACUCCAUGAGAAAUAUGAAAAUCAGCUUGGAGAACAGCCUGAGGGAGAUGGAGGCCCGCUACGCCCUGCAUAUGGAGCAGCUCAACGAGACCCUUCUGCACCUGGAGUCAGAGCUGGCACAGACCCGGGCAGAGGGACAGCACCAGGACCAGGAGUAUGAGGCUCUGCUGAACAUCAAGGUCAAGCUGGAGGCUGAGAUGGCCACCUACCGCUGCCUGCUGGAAGAUGGCGAGGACUUCAGUCUUGGUGAUGCCCUGGACAGCACUAACUCCAUGCAAAUCAUCCAAAAGACCACCGCCCGCCGGAUAGUGGAUGGCAAAGUGGUGUCUGAGACCAAUGACACCAAAGUUCUGAGACAUUAGGCCAGCAGAAGCAGGGGACCCUUUGGGGAGCAGGAGGCCAAUAAAAAGCUCGGAGGUCAAAAAAAA
Cebus imitator (Panamanian white-faced capuchin) is the source of this 1739-nucleotide RNA transcript. It is a transcript of the gene named keratin, type I cytoskeletal 18-like, with no coding region annotated. The transcript has a single exon. The record is from RefSeq and is a predicted model, not a curated record. NCBI's taxonomy places the organism in Eukaryota, Metazoa, Chordata, Mammalia, Primates, Cebidae.